AACGAACGCUGGCGGCAUGCCUAACACAUGCCAGUCGAACGAGACCUUCGGGUCUAGUGGCGCACGGGUGCGUAACGCGUGGUAACCUGCCCUUAGGUUCGGAAUAACUCCCCGAAGGGGGUGCUAAUACCGGAUAAUGUCUUCGGACCAAAGAGUUAUCGCCUUUGGAUGGGCCCGCGUUGGUUUAGGUAGUUGGUAGGGUAAAAGCCUACUAAGGCGACGAUCCAUAGCUGGUCUGAGAGGAUGAUCAGCCACAAUGGGACUGAGACACGGCCCAGACUCCUACGGGAGGCAGCAGUAGGGAAUAUUGGACACUGGGCGAAAGCCUGAUAAAGCAAUGCCGCGUGAGUGAUGCAGGCCUUAGGGUUGUAAAGCUCUUUUACCCGGGACGAUAAUGACAGUACCGGGAGAAUAAGCACCGGCUAACUCCGUG
This 433-nucleotide ribosomal RNA is filed under the name uncultured bacterium. RNAcentral's name for it is "partial 16S ribosomal RNA". It matches the Rfam family "Bacterial small subunit ribosomal RNA", at positions 29 to 507 of the family's 1533-position model. The record is from RNAcentral.